UUGGGAUUUAUUGAAGAGGAAUGUCUGGCUGAUUUAAAGCACUGCUGGUUGCUCAAGUUAGGGCAUUAGUACCUUUUAGUUAACAACGUCAAACAGGUGUGGGAGAUCCACUUUGAAGGGUGAUCUGUGUUCAUAUCCCUGAGGAGACUGUCAAGAUAACCAAGACAAUUUUCUGUUGUAAUUUUAAGAGUGAAAUUAGUUUGGAGAAAAUUGGUGGGAGAAAUCCAGCAUGCUGAGUUAUCUAAUUCAUAACAAAAUGGAGCUGGAUGCUGUGGUGCACACCUAUCAUCACAACUAUUCAGGAGGCUGAGGUGGGAGGAUCGCUUGGGUCCAGCCGUUUUGGGCUGUAGUGUGCUAUGCUGAUAGAGUGUCCACACUAUGUUUGGCCACAAUGUAGUGACCUCCCAAUUCGGGACCACCAGGUUGCUUGAGGAGGGGUGAGCCAGCCCAGGUCAGAAAUGGAGCAGGUCAAAACUGCCAUGUUGAUUAGUAGUGGGACUGCACCUGUGAAUAGCCACUGCCCUCCAGACUGGGCAACAUAGUGAGACCCCUGUCUCUAAAACAAACAGGCAGACAAACACAAAAUGGAAUCUGAGAAUCUGUGUCAUUUGCAUUAUUUGGAUGGGGAGAGAAAAACGGAUUAGACUGUAGCUAGGGGAUUUUUAUCUUUAUUUGCCUUCCAAGCUCCUUUAUCUCUUCCUGUUUCAAACACUUUCACUGCCAAAAGCCUAAUCCACAUCUGCACAAAGAGAACGCUACUGCGCUAAUAGCACAAGGAAAAGCACUGGAGCCCUUGGAACUCUUCCUAGGUUAAAAGCACUUCUAUUAACUUGCUGAUUUGUCUCAGAGAAAAAUUCCUAUUUUCUUUCUUUCUAGUGCCUCCAGAAAAGGAAAUUAAUUUGUGAUUUUAAAUUCAUUUUCUUUUUUAUGUCAAUUUUAAAACUUUUAUCAAAAUAAUACAUGCACAUAGUUUAAAAAUAAAAUAGUGCAAAAGGACUUAAUAAUGGAAAGCAACGUUUACCCACCACUCCCCUCCUCAAUUCUGGUCCCAUUUUUAACUCCUGUUUAUUUUGAUGACUACUUCCAUCUCUCUAAAUAGUAUUAUACCACUACUUCAUUUCCUUUAAAAAAAAAUCAGUUAUAUGUCUAUUAUCUACUGACUUUCUACUAUUUAUGUGGAAGUUUUCUUCACUUGUAUUUCCUCCCCCAUCUUUUCUCCUUCCUUCCAGUAUAGUUAAAUCAUCAUUUUUAAUUCCUCAGUGGUUUAUCUUAUGUAAAGGUACAUUCACUGCUAGUAAUUGAAAAUCAAUUUCAAUAUUUAAGCAGUAAGGAAAAUGUAUUUUCUCGCAAUAACACAUCCCAAGAUAAGUCAGCUAUAAGAUUAAUUAAUUCAG
RNAcentral lists this long non-coding RNA (1394 nucleotides) under Homo sapiens (human). RNAcentral's name for it is "HSALNT0191980". The stretch from base 262 to 558 matches the Rfam family "Metazoan signal recognition particle RNA". Lineage: Eukaryota; Metazoa; Chordata; Mammalia; Primates; Hominidae. The record is from RNAcentral.